RNAcentral lists this transfer RNA (69 nucleotides) under Ptilotula penicillata (White-plumed honeyeater). RNAcentral describes it as "tRNA-Ala". It matches the Rfam family "tRNA". From Rfam's summary of the family: Transfer RNA (tRNA) molecules are approximately 80 nucleotides in length. Their secondary structure includes four short double-helical elements and three loops (D, anti-codon, and T loops). Further hydrogen bonds mediate the characteristic L-shaped molecular structure. tRNAs have two regions of fundamental functional importance: the anti-codon, which is responsible for specific mRNA codon recognition, and the 3' end, to which the tRNAs corresponding amino acid is attached (by aminoacyl-tRNA synthetases). tRNAs cope with the degeneracy of the genetic code in two manners: having more than one tRNA (with a specific anti-codon) for a particular amino acid; and 'wobble' base-pairing, i.e. permitting non-standard base-pairing at the 3rd anti-codon position. Lineage: Eukaryota; Metazoa; Chordata; Aves; Passeriformes; Meliphagidae. The record is from RNAcentral.
AAAAUUCUAGCUUAAUUAAAGCAUCUGAGUUGCAAUCAGGAGAUGCAGGGUAAUGUCCUGCGAAUUUUA